UUAUGUUUUGGGGGGAAAUUAUCUGGCCAGACGCCAUCUAGUCGGAGUUGUGUUUUCUUGCCUUGACUGCUGUAUUGCAAUAGUAAUAUUAGCCAAAAUAAUUAUUUCCUUUACGUUAGAAGACAUAUGAAGUCUCCGGUGUAAAGCAGAGGAAACGGCUCCAACUCGUUAUGGAAGACUGCUUGCACACGUCUUCAGUGAAACUGUCUAAGUUGGUCCGAUGGGCCCACAGUCACGGCACCAUCUGUGCUCUCAUCCCGAACCUCAAACACCUGCUCACUGAGGGGUCCCACGGGAACCUGACCGCCAUGUGGGGGUGCAGCGCGGGCCACGCCUACCACUGGCCCCUCAACGUCACCUGCAAGAUGGGCCCGAAGGAGCGAGGUGGCUGCUACCAAGACAGCCGCAGCAUCAACUCAGACAGCCUCAGUCUCCAGGGAGGGACCUCUGCCUGCCAGAGCAGCCCAGGAGGAGAGAGGUUUCUGGGCCUCUCCAGCAAAGCCAAGUGGGGCGACAGCAGCCAGACCCGGGACUCCUGCGACUUCUCCAACUGCAGCGACGAUAACACUGAGGCGGACGACAGCAACCUGUUUGAUAUUGUCUGUGAGUCCUCAGCCACAACGGACGAGGAAGGAGAUGCAGACUACGAGCCUCAUCACAGACCCAGGACGAGGGGUCCCCUAGGGGGACCAGGGUCUGAGGACAAAUCAGUGAAGAAGAUCAAGCAGGAGACUGCUGAGGAAUAUUACACAGGACCUAAAGACCAGCUAGCAGCAGGGGGAGGUACUGACUCUGGCCUGGCCUCUCACUCAGUCUCCCAGUCCCCAAAGCCUAAUAACUCUCAGUCCCAGUUGUCCCUGUCCCACGCUUCACCACACAAGCCCUCCCUGAAGGACGCAGACUGUUUGGGUGGUGGUGUGUCGUGGUCUCCGCUGGGGUGCUCCUCUCCUCACAUACCCAUGCUAGCCAAACCGCUACGAGGCUUUACUUCCAGCUCUGUCUCCAAGCCCUCCGUGAUGAGCUCUGGUUCCCCCAGACAUCAGGACCCGUCCUCUGGGUCGACUCAGCGCCUGAGAACCCUCCCUGGGGCAGCCGGUGAGCUGAUGGAGGACCUGCUGAAGCCUGGAGGUUCUGAGGGGCCCUUUGGGGACCUGACUCCCUCCUGCCUCAGUGGGAUGAACCCUGACCUGGACCUGAUUGGGGCAGAGACCAAAGGAGAGGCUACAGUGGGAUGGGCUCUCUGUGAGAUGGAGCGUCUGCGGGCGCUGCUGAGUGUGGAGCGGAGCCUCAGUCAGCAGAUGGGAGACACCAUCAAUAGCCUGAAACAGGACAAGCAGCUGCUGCAGCAGGAACUCACCAAGAAGGCUGAACUCAUCUGUGACUUCCUGCAAGACCAGCUGCGACCAGAGAAGAGGCGUGGUCAUUCAUCCAUCCAGAUGGAGGUGGGGCUGGGCAGCUCCACCCACAUGGGGGUGGGGUUCCCUGACGAGGGCAUGGCGUUGGAGAACUCUGCCCUGUUCGAAAGCUUCGAAGAGGUGGAGACCCACCCCCUGGACCGACGCAGGGAGAUGAAGAGGAGCAGAGAUGGAGAGAACACACGAGUCAGGAUGAAGAACGUGGUGGGCGUGAUCGCCAGGUACAUGGCGGCCCUGCAGGAGUUCAGACGCAGCGUCUCCAUGAAGGUGGCGUUCGACCGCGUGGGCGUCGACCGGAACACCAUCUCAAGGACGGCGGCCAUCGCCGAGCUGAGCCUGGCAGCUCCAGAGGUGUUCCACGCCCUGCCGCCGUGGGACGAGAAGGAGGAGACCCUGGCUCACUACGCCCACCGCUGCCGGCAGGCCAUGGACGACACCAUCCACGCCAAGAUCAAAACCAUGAAAACCAAGGGAGACCUGCUGCCUAUAGUCAGCAAGCAACACCAAACUGAGGGGUCUACAUCCCUGCUGGACUCCUACCUGGCCUCCUUCAGGGCGGCGAGGCAGGAGGGCUGGGAGUAUGAACCCAACAGCCAACUACCAGUGUGUUCUGGAGCGUCACCUGAAGGAGCAGCGAUACAGCUACAGCAUCACCAGAGACAAGGAGGCCCUGAAACAGAAGCCAUGAAGCUUCUCUGACGAGCUGAGAAAGAGAGACCUGCUGAGCCGCUUCAACCAUGAUAGGACUGCUCAACUUAGUGUGGCUCAACAACACAGAGACGUUUGUCCACUGCACCGGCUUCCAUGGCUCCUCGCUGACCACGCCCACCGGCCUAGACUGUCUGGAGUGGACCUGCCAGGACUCCUCAGACGUCUCUGCUGAGACCCGCCGGGCGGGGACAGAUUGUCGGAUCUACGCCACGCCUCACGCCCCCCGACCCUCUGCUGCUUCUUCUUCUAAGGAGCAUGCCCAGAGGAGACCCAUGCUGUACGGGGACGCUCCCUUCUACCUGUCCAUCAGACUUGUGGUCAACCUGGCCGCCCUCCACUGGUACAACUGCCAGGCCCUGGGUGAGAACAAACAGGCUAUGAUGGUGAGGAGGGCAACAUGUGAGAAGGGCAACAUCCCUGGGAGGAAGACUCACUCCAGUGUAUACCAGAGCUGCAGUACCCUGUCAGAAGCUCAGAACAACCAGCUGAUCUGUAACAACAUUUACAUUUACACAGACACCCCCAGACAGACCCCCCAGACAGACACCCCCCAGACAGACACGCCCCAGACAGACCCCCCAAGACAGACCCCCCAGACAGACACCCCCCAGACAGACCCCCCAGACAGACCCCCCCAGACAGACCCCCCCCAGACAGACACGCCCCAGACAGACACCCCCAGACAGACACCCCCCAGACAGACACCCCCCAGACAGACACGCCCCAGACAGACACCCCCCAGACAGACCCCCCCAGACAGACACCCCCCAGACAGACACGCCCCAGACAGACCCCCCAGACAGACACGCCCCAGACAGACCCCCCAGACAGACCCCCCAGACAGACCCCCCAGACAGACCCCCCAGACAGACACCCCCCAGACAGACACCCCCCAGACAGACACCCCCCAGACAGACACCCCCCAGGAGAGCAAAGGGCCUGUUUAA
Molecule: RNA transcript, 3073 nt
Organism: Coregonus clupeaformis (lake whitefish)
Lineage: Eukaryota; Metazoa; Chordata; Actinopteri; Salmoniformes; Salmonidae
Exons: 13
Source: RefSeq, a predicted model, not a curated record